AUUCUGGUUGAUCCUGCCAGUAGUUAUAUGCUUUGUCUCAAAGAUUAAGCCAUGCAUGUCUAAGUACACACGCAUUAAAAGUGAAAACCGCAAAAGGCUCAUUAUAUCCAGUUAUGGUUCCUUAGAUCGUUAACAGUUACUUGGAAUAACUGUGGUUAAUUCUAGAGCUAAUACAUUGCAAUUUAAAACAUGAACCUUAUGGGACAUGUGCUUUUAUUAGGCUAAAACCAAGCGAUCGCAAGAUCGUUAUAUUGGUUGAACUCUAGAUAACAUGCAGAUCGUAUGGUCUUGUACCGACGACAGAUCUUUCAAAUGUCUGCCCUAUCAACUUUUGAUGGUAGUAUCUAGGACUACCCUGGUUGCAACGGGUAACGGGGAAUCAGGGUUCGAUUCCGGAAAGGGAGCCUGAGAAACGGCUACCACAUCUAAGGAAGGCAGCAGGCGCGUAAAUUACCCACUCCCAGCUCGGGGAGGUAGUGACGAAAAAUAACAAUACAGGACUCAUAUCCGAAGCCCUGUAAUUGGAAUGAGUACACUUUAUAUCCUUUAACAAGGACCAAUUGCAGGGCAAGUCUGGGUGCAGCAGCCGCUGUAAUUCCAGCUCCCAUAGCGUAUAUUAAAGUUGUUGCGGUUAAAACGUUCGUAGUUGAACUUGUGCUUCAUACGGGUAGUACAACAUACAAUUGUAGUUAGUACUAUACCUUUAUGUAUGUAAGCGUAUUACCGGUGGAGUUCUUAUAUAUGUUUAAAUACUUGUAUUUUUUCAUAUGUUCCUCCUAUUUAAAAACCUGCAUUAGUGCUCUUAAACGAGUGUUAUUGUGGGCCGGUACAAUUACUUUGAACAAAUUAGAGUGCUUAAAGCAGGCUUCAAAUGCCUGAAUAUUCUGUGCAUGGGAUAAUGAAAUAAGACCUCUGUUCUGCUUUCAUUGGUUUUCAGAUCAAGAGGUAAUGAUUAAUAGAAGCAGUUUGGGGGCAUUAGUAUUACGACGCGAGAGGUGAAAUUCUUGGACCGUCGUAAGACUAACUUAAGCGAAAGCAUUUGCCAAAGAUGUUUUCAUUAAUCAAGAAACGAAGUUAGAGGUUCGAAGGCGAUCAGAUACCGCCCUAGUUCCUAACAUAAACGAUGCCAGCUAGCAAUU
Molecule: non-coding RNA, 1139 nt
Organism: Drosophila ananassae
Lineage: Eukaryota; Metazoa; Arthropoda; Insecta; Diptera; Drosophilidae
Source: Rfam